Long non-coding RNA from Daphnia carinata, 624 nucleotides. RefSeq lists it as uncharacterized. NCBI's taxonomy places the organism in Eukaryota, Metazoa, Arthropoda, Branchiopoda, Diplostraca, Daphniidae. The record is from RefSeq and is a predicted model, not a curated record. The transcript has 4 exons.
CCCGACGCUGUGAUGUUCGUUUUCUGUGUUGUCAGAAUAAGUUUUCCUACGUUAAGCAUCCAUAUUUUUGAAGAAAGUGAUGAUGGUUUGAUUCGCAGAGGAAUCGUUUAAUUUUCUUUUUUUGUCGUAUUCCCCGAAAGAAACUAACAAAUCCAAUUAGGAACGAACAGCACACAGGGUGUUGUCGAAGAGGAACACGUAGUCUAGAUUAUGAGAACAAAUUUGAAAUUCUAGACAAUGCUCUUGAGCAAUGUGUCCGUUGUUUUUGACUUCGUUUAAUGUUGUGGCUGAAUGGACAAUGAGAGAUUGAAUCAACAACAUAUCAAGUGGGCAGCUCAUGGUCAAACUCGUUUGGCAUAAAGGGUUUGUUAGAUAAGGGUGGAGGCAGCUUUAACAAUUUAGAUCUAGCACCUAUUAGACUGGUGGUGUUGGCCCCGUGAAUCUUAUCGUCUUCAAGCUGGGUGAAAAAACAAUGAUUCAGUUGGUUUCGUGCAACAUCCUCACAAAAAUGGGACAAGACUUAACAAAAAGAGCAUAUAGAUGCAGUGUCAAACUGUACCAGUGAGUACCAGAGUAAUGUGACAAACAUUCAUGAUGGUGAUUAAUCUUCACACAGCUAACAUU